GACGAACGCUGGCGGCGCGCUUAACACAUGCAAGUCGAACGGAAAGGCCUGCUUUCCCUUGUGGAUUGCGGGUACUCGAGUGGCGAACGGGUGAGUAACACGUGAGUGAUCUGCCCCCAACUUGGGUAUAAGCCUGGGAAACUGGGUCUAAUUCCCGAUAGGACUGCAGGGUGGUGCCUGUGGUGGAAAACGAUUUUCUAGUGGUUGGGGAGUAGCUCGCGGCCUAUCAGCUUGUUGGUGGGGUAAUGGCCUACCAAGGCGGCGACGGGUAGCCGGCCUGGGGGGGUGGACGGCCACAUUGGGACUGAGAUGCGGCCCAGACUCCUACGGGAGGCAGCAGGGGGGAAUAUUGCACAAUGGGCGGAAGCCUGAUGCAGCGACGCCGGGUGGGGGAUGACGGCCUUCGGGUGGUAAACUCCUUUCGACCGCGAGGAAGCCACCUGGUUGGAAGGGUGGUGACGGUAGUGGUAGAAGAAGCACCGGCUAACUACGUG
RNAcentral lists this ribosomal RNA (494 nucleotides) under uncultured bacterium. RNAcentral describes it as "partial 16S ribosomal RNA". It matches the Rfam family "Bacterial small subunit ribosomal RNA", at positions 28 to 507 of the family's 1533-position model. The record is from RNAcentral.